RNAcentral lists this ribosomal RNA (494 nucleotides) under uncultured bacterium. RNAcentral describes it as "partial 16S ribosomal RNA". It matches the Rfam family "Bacterial small subunit ribosomal RNA", at positions 28 to 507 of the family's 1533-position model. The record is from RNAcentral.
GACGAACGCUGGCGGCGUGCUUAACACAUGCCAGUCGAACGGUGAAGCGCCUUCCUUUUUGGUGGGUGUGGAUGAGUGGCGAACGGGUGAGUAACACGUGAGUAACCUGCCCCCUUCUUCUGGAUAACCGCAUGAAAGUGUGGCUAAUACGGGAUAUUCUGGGUCUGUCGCAUGAUGGGUCUGGGAAAGAUAUUGUUUCGGUGGGGGAUGGGCUCGCGGCCUAUCAGCUUGUUGGUGGGGUGAUGGCCUACCAAGGCGGUGACGGGUAGCCGGCCUGGGAGGGUGGACGGUCACACUGGGACUGAGACACGGCCCAGACUCCUACGGGAGGCAGCAGUGGGGAAUAUUGCACAAUGGGCGCAAGCCUGAUGCAGCGACGCCGCGUGAGGGAUGGAGGCCUUCGGGUUGUGAACCUCUUUCGCCAGUGAAGCAGGCCUGCCUCGUUUGUGGGUGGGUUGACGGUAGCUGGAUAAGAAGCGCCGGCUAACUACGUG